This 1345-nucleotide ribosomal RNA is filed under the name Brachiosphaera tropicalis. RNAcentral describes it as "eukaryotic LSU rRNA". It matches the Rfam family "Eukaryotic large subunit ribosomal RNA", at positions 60 to 1430 of the family's 3401-position model. The record is from RNAcentral. Lineage: Eukaryota; Fungi; Ascomycota; Dothideomycetes; Jahnulales; Aliquandostipitaceae.
AGAACACAGGGAUUGCCUUAGUAACGGCGAGCGAAGCGGCAAUUGCUCAGAUUUGAAAUCUGGUCCCCUUGGGGCCCGAGUUGUAAUCUGUAGGGGAUGCUUCGGAGUCUGACCCGGCCUAAGUUCCUUGGAACAGGACGUCGCAGAGGGUGAGAAUCCCGUAUGCGGCCGGUGGACGUCUCCGUGCGAAGCUCCUCCGACGAGUCGAGUUGUUUGGGAAUGCAGCUCUAAAUGGGAGGUAAAUUUCUUCUAAAGCUAAAUACCGGCCAGAGACCGAUAGCGCACAAGUAGAGUGAUCGAAAGAUGAAAAGCACUUUGGAAAGAGAGUUAAAAAGUACGUGAAAUUGUUGAAAGGGAAGCGCUUGCAACCAGACUCGACCGCUAAAGGAUCACCCCUCCCCGUGGAGGGCUCACUCCUCUGCGGUCGGGCCAGCAUCGGUUCGGGCGGUCGUUUAAAGGCGUUGGGAAUGUGGCUCCUCUCGGGGAGCGUUAUAGCCCUUCGUGCAAUGCGACCUGCCCGGACCGAGGACCGCGCUCCGGCAAGGAUGCUGGCUUAAUGGUUGUAAGCGGCCCGUCUUGAAACACGGACCAAGGAGUCUAACAUCUAUGCGAGUGUUCGGGUGUUAAACCCCUACGCGCAAUGAAAGUGAACGGAGGUCGGAGCCCUCGGGCGCACGAUCGACCGAUCCUGAUGUCUUCGGAUGGAUUUGAGUAAGAGCAUAAAUGUUGGGACCCGAAAGAUGUGCGAACUAUGCUUGAGUAGGCCGAAGCCAGCGGAAACGCUGGUGGAGGGUCGCAGCGGUUCUGACGUGCAAAUCGAUCGUCAAACUUGAGUAUAGGGGCGAAAGACUAAUCGAGCCAUCUAGUAGCUGGUUCCUGCCGAAGUUUCCCUUAGGAUAGCAGUAACGUUUUCAGUUUUAUGAGGUAAAGCGAAUGAUUAGAGGCCUGGGGGUUGAAACAACCUUCACCUAUUCUCAAACUUUAAAUAUGUAAGAAGCCCUUGUUACUUAGUUGAACGUGGGCACUCGAAUGUACCGUUACUAGUGGGCCAUUUUUGGUAAGCAGAACUGGCGAUGCGGGGUGAACCGAACGCGAGGUUAAGGUGCCGGAAUGCACGCUCAUCAGACACCACAAAAGGUGUUAGUUCAUCUAGACAGCAGGACGGUGGCCAUGGAAGUCGGAAUCCGCUAAGGAGUGUGUAACAACUCACCUGCCGAAUGAACUAGCCCUGAAAAUGGAUGGCGCUCAAGCGUGCUACCAAUACCUCGCCGCCUGGGUAAGACCUAUGCCCAGGCGAGUAGGCAGGCGUGGAGGCCCGUGACGAAGCCUUGGGGGGACCCCGUCA